This is a long non-coding RNA of Poecilia latipinna (sailfin molly), 9400 nucleotides long. RefSeq lists it as uncharacterized. The transcript has 2 exons. The record is from RefSeq and is a predicted model, not a curated record. Lineage: Eukaryota; Metazoa; Chordata; Actinopteri; Cyprinodontiformes; Poeciliidae.
GUGUGUGUGUGUGUGUGUGUGUUUUCUGUGCAGCGUACUCCACCCCCACCACAUCUCCAGCCCAACGGUUCGUCAGCGUCGGCCCUCGAGACCCCAGCUUCAACAUCCCUCAGCAGCCGCAGUGGUACCUGGGAUAAGGACUCCGGAGGCGCAGACGCCCUCUAUGGCCAGCCGCUGCAGCCUGUCCUCCAACACCAGCUGUCCCUGGUCAACCCCGUCACCGGUCCUGCAGAUCCUGGCUCCACCGUCAAUGACUCGGCAUCGGCAUGGCUAAAGCAGAUUAAGCGCUCCCACGCUGCGAAUCGUUCGUCCCAGAAUUCCUUGCAGACUCUUGGAUCGUAUAUCUGUAGUGCUGGAUCUGAGCCCUGAACCUUUUUCCCUGAAUCCCUGACCUGUGGGGCAACGGGGGAAGCGACCUCUUCUGGGAACGUCAUCAGACUGAGUCCCAGUUAUUCCUCUGUGGAGGACCUACCUAUCCAUCACUUUGUGCCGUGUGAACUUGCAGUGGUUUGAAGCCCUCAAGGCUGCCACCACCCCUUCCUCCUUAGUGGAUCCCUGCAGCCGGGAGUUGGCAGGGGGCCACCUGGCUCAGAGACACCAGCUGAAACAAACCUCCUGGGACAGACGCUGCCUCCUUCCCUAGCUCUCUUCAGGACUUGGACGGUAGCAUGAUGGGAGGAGCUGAGCCGGGGGCGGAGCAGCAUGAACUAACCGUGGGGGCUCUGGGUGGGGCAUCCUGAAGGUGGUCUGGAUUCGCUGCUACGCUUCACCAGGCGCUCGUUUCUCUGGAGGCUUCAUGGCUCAUCGGUUUCUCUCUUUUAGCCUCCAUUCUCUCCUUCCAUCCAUCCACCUGUCCAGGUGAAGAGGCAGCGUACGCAGGGCGGGCCGAACCCCCGGGGGUCCGGAGCCACGCCGCCAGUCAGGGGAGAGCCCCACCUCUCAAACUUAACAGUGAAAUCAUGAGGAAAAGUGCAAUUUUGUUGACUAGUUGUUGGAUUAUUAAAUAUAUCUAAAUGUAUAUUUUUCUUGUAGUCCGCUCAGACCUGGGACUCUAAAACACUGAGCGACAAACCGACACGCAGCCUUGGGGAUCCCCAACCCAGUGAGAAACCACCAAACCGCGUCGUUCUUUGAUAAUCUGGUAGUUUGAUAUGAGAACGUCUGAAUCAGAGAUCAGUUUCUGAGCAAAGGACUGAUGUUCAUUCAGCUCAAAUAGGAAUGAAUAACGAUUCCUUUAUUUGAAAUUUAUUCUGCGUCAGGGAAACAAAAUGUCUCCUGAGGCCAAAUCACAACAAUUUAAGCUUGAAACAAAUCAGUUUGGCAAGAUAAUCUGCCUGGCAACGGGCUGUCAUGUGAUUGGCUGGGUCUUCCAGAGGCUCCAUCCAAUCACAGGCACUUCUUCCUCCAGCUGGCCAAUAGGCUGUGAGUGUGUCAUCAGGGGGCGUGGUUUAUUUAUGAAGAUUUUAACUCUUCUUCAGUUUGUUUUUUCUUUCUUAUUCUAUAAAUAUCUAUAGACACACACACCCGACGUUAACAUGACUUUAAGUGGAAAAAGUCAUAAAAAUAAGUAAAAAAAAAUCUGCAUGUGUUCGUGUUUGUGGCCGUUUUCUCCAUAGAUGACGUAGUUAGUGAUAAACGGAUGAUAUUCCAACAUGAGGCACUUCCUGUCGGUUCUUCACUUCCCUACAACUCUCGGUUCUUUUCCUCUCAUGUUUUCCUGGCAGCAAUAGAACCGGUCCGGUCUUCAAAUCCAAAAUGUUAAUUUGUCUGUCCUGUGUCUAAAUUAGCUGAUCCUGGUCUCUGCGCCACAAACACUAGCAGGAUGUCCAACCUGUGGUCAAACCAGCUUUAAGGUGGCGUGGCCUGCAGGUGGCGCUGUAGGCUGAUUAAUUUUGGUUUUGUUAGGAGGAAGUUGUGAAGAACUCGUUCUGGAGGCGGUUAAAGGUCAGAUGGUCUCCUCCGUGUUUGAGGCUGGAUCUCCUGAAGUUCUGCAGAUGGAAACGUUCGCUGAACUUUUUCCACCAAAGCAGCUCCAGGUCCAAACCACAAGCUGCUCUACAGCCCAUAAUUAUCUAUACCCCUGGCAAGCUUAGCUCUAUUUUGUUUCUAAUAGGACACAAAGCUCUUUUUAUAUAGCAAACUUAUCUCUAUUAUAAGAGACAUAAAAAAUCUGCUUUAAUUAUAUUAGAAUAAUAAUCUGCAUCAAUUAUCAAUUAAAACAUUUUUACUCCCUGAUGAAUGAGUGAAGCUUACUAGCUACAUGCCUGUCUUGUUGUAUAUAUAGCCAAACAUUGGUUGAUACUUAUUCCUCUCUUGUCAAGUUUGAUUUUAGAUGUGCUCUGAUACCACCCAGUGGUCGGAGUGUGAACUACAUGCGGUUCAUGGAAGCGGAAUUGUGCAAUUGGCCGAUAAACUAUUAAUAAUCUGAAUCCUCAGCUAGGUUGUGCAAUAAAAAUAUAUUUUUAGACUGUUUUCUAUACAUGAUAUAUUAAAACAGACCACACGUUUAAAAUUCUAAAAUUUAUUUCUAAUUUGUGUUUGAAGUCUUUUAGUAACACUCGGCAACUAAUGAAUGAAAAUGAGUGAUGCUAGUCUUUAUAACCUAUAUAUAAAUUUAGAUAUAUUUGUAAAAAAAAAAAGUAAAUAGUAUUUUUAUUAUAUAUAUAAAUAUUCAUUAAUAAAUAAUUAUUUUCACAAGUGUAUAAUAUCUGUUUUAUCUGGAUUUAGGGAACACAAGCUUCUAGGACAUUACAGUAAAGACAUUUUUCAGUAGUUAGCUCUAUUUGAAACACUGCAGGAUAAAAACAAAUGGUUGGUCAAAAAUAUCUGCUGAAAAUCAGUUUGAAAACUGAUUUCAUGGGACUGCUGUGAAGGAAUUUUACAGUGUUUAAAACACUAUGAUGAUGAAAAAACAGUGGUUGUUCAAAAAGAAAAAUUUGACCUAAUUCAAUCUGUUUCAUUCCUUAACUGCCUGGUGUUGCUAUUUAGCAUCAUAGCUAAAUUUACACUAAUGGUGUCUGAAAUGUUCAAAUUUAUAAUGUCUAAGUUUUUGUGCACUCGGACAUUCAGGCAUUAAGGGGUUGUUAGCUUGUGGGCGGAGCAGCUUGUUGGUCCUCCACUGUUCAGAUGAGAAUUAAUGGAGUUAUAAACCGCAUUCUGAUUGGUUGCUGGAUGUUCUGGUUCUGGAGCAGAGAUCAGCUUAGUGGAGCCCAGACAUCCAACUCCAACUGGCGGUCAGCUUUAGAACUCCAGAGUCUCCCUGUUGUUACCACAGCGCUCCAGUAGGGGGCAGAGCAGCAGAAACAGCUUCCAGCGCUAUUUGCUGCUCAUUCAACUGAAUCCAGACCUUCUGGUCGACCACUUCGUGAUCUUCUCCGUCUUUCCAGGGAAUUUUCCAUCUGUUGCUGGAAGGUUUCACAUCUUCCCGUUUGUCUGCCUGAUUGUUCCCUGAUCCGAGUAUCGGAUGUAAAUUAUGCAAUAUCUGCUUGCACUCUGACACGUCUUUUUAUGGUUAGUUUUCCUUCCUUCAGAUCGAAGCCGGACCCUACUCAGCCGCUGUGGUGGCUCUGGUCCGAUGAGCCAGGCUGCUGUCUCAUGAACCCGACCUUAAACAAAUCCAAGCUGUCAUCCGUCAGAGUGCGGACGGUUCUGUGAAACGGAUCUGUCCGGUUCUGUUGGGUUUGAGGCUGUGAGGGCCGAGGGUCAGUUCUGUUCCUGCCUUGCCUUUAGCUGUGAGUUGGGCAUUAUCUAUCUGCACUAAAUAUGAGAUGGUGAAUACAGGAAAGCAGCUUCUAGGUCGAAUCGAUUAAAGGGAAUAAAAUGAGAAAAUUGUACGGACAUUUUUUUAAGUGUCAAAAAAUCUGAUCAGUUGGUUUGAAUCCGACUGUCGCUGAGCGUUUGAGACAUCUUUAAGGAAACUACAAUGAGUGAGCAGUAGUGUGGGCAGCGAGUUUGUUUGCUGUUUGUUCAUUUAGUUGGUUCUGCAGUGAAGGCAGAGGGAGCGCCUCCUACUGGCUGGAGCCCUGACUGAGUGCUGUAUAGUUUAUUGAUUUUAAAGCUGCCCUAUUUUCUAAUGCAGGACUUUUUUAACAAUGACUAAGUGAGGAAACUGUGGUGGUGUGAAUUUUCUGACUGUUUCUACGGAGGUUGUUUUUUUUCCUGGAAACUGGAUCCAAGUUGAAAACUUUCCCGUUUCCUCCUUUUUUCUUGAGUUUCCUUUUUUAUGUAUUUAUGAACAUUUCCUAUGUUGAUGCUCUUCUGCAGCCCAGAGUGACCCCCAUCCCCAUUGUAAAUGGAUGUUACAGUUUCUGUAUGUUCAGUGUUGAUGAAGCUGAAUUUAGUCCUUCUAAGGGAAAACAAAAUUUUUCUGCAUUUGAAGGAGUUUAGUUGUUAGGCAGGAGACAUAGCCGGCCAAACGAUGCCCAACUAGAAAUGCAUCCAGGCAUCUUUUUUUCUGUUCACCAUUCCAUGCAGAACAAUAAACAGCUUGAUUAUGCAACAUGAUUUUUUUCUUUCCCAUCUGUUUCUUUCUCCACCUCCUCCUCCUGCACGCCUCCACCGCUGCGGAGCGACGGGACGCCGUGAUCGGACCUCCUGCUACGGUUCCACCCAGGAAUCAAUUAUUCUAAUGAUCAGUAAAUCCUCUCUUUAAUGUCUCCAUUAACGGAUCAAUUCUUCUCUUUCUGCAUCUAAUGAUACAAAAACCCGAUCAGCAACCCAGAGAUGGUGCUUUAGUUUGGAGGUGCAAAGGAAACCGGGCCGGUUCUCAUGAACCGGGCAGCAGGUCCAAUCACAGCUGAACCAGAGCUGGAACCAGAACCAAUCCAAACCUCACUCCCCCAGAGGAGCUCUGCUGCCUCAUCAGGAAACGGAGGGGCAGUUUUUACCCCCAUCAUGCCCCAGGAACAGGAGCCCCCUCUCCAGCUGCUGCUGCACAGUCAGGGGUCAGAGGUCAGGGGUCGGGGUGUUUCUGAACAGAUCACCGAUGGAGGACUAGACCGUGCCUCCAUCUUGCUUCUCCACAGCCAAUCAUGGCGCAGCAGUCUAAUCUGCAUGAGAACUAUGCACUGACUAACAGCCUUCACGUUCCUCCAGAGGGGGCGCCGUGGAGCGAACCCAGGAACCAGCAUACUCCACCAUAUAUGAAGAUAUGAAAUGUAGUGCCUGUGAAGCUGUAUUCUCCUGAACCUGUUUAUAUCUCCGGAACACCAGUAGCCUUCUGACUCUAGCUGAUGUUCAAUAAUCACCUGAUGUAACCUGCAUGCUCUGCCAUAGCGUCUAGCAAGACAGCAAGUAGGAAAAAAAUGAACUUCCUGUUCAUCUUCACCCUCCUCUUCAUCAACUCACCACCAUCUGUAAGGGACGUCUAACAGGCAUCCACUGCAGGACGAGGGGCCCCAAUGGGCCCUGCCAUGAUGGGACGCCAUCAGGAUGAGACUCACACUCUGGGUCCCUCUCUGAUUGGACCCGUUCUAAGCCCUUCAGCCUCGCACAGUUUUAAUCAGACAAUCUCCAGAUCACUGUUUUUAGCAUCUGCAAACACUCAGCUGGUCCCCUCACACACACAUCAUAUAUAUAUAUAUAUAUAUAUAUAUAUAUAUAUAUGCACACACACUCCUGUUAAUCUCCCACAUGAGGCCUGAAGGUAGCUUAGUGCUUUGUGGGGUCCACACACACAUUCCAGCAUGCAUUGACCAACACCAACAGCCCCACCCCCUACCUCCUCCCCGGGCUGUUUCCUGCAGGAGAACCAAUCGAUGGCUUCUCCAUUUUUCUGCAGCGCUCAGCAUUAUCUAGCCUGACUUCCCCAGACUCCUCCGCUGCCCCCCCCCUCCACCCCCUGCCCCUGGCAGGACUUUAAACGAGCUGCUGCUCCUGCAGGAUCAGAGCGGUUUAAAGGGAAGGUGGCUGCAGUACCUGGGAGCCUCCGUCUUGCCCCCCCAGCCCGGACCAGCUGGGGUCGAUCGGCUCGUCUAGCUCACCUCCAGUGGCUCCUGCAGCCUGUCGAUGCUGCUCACAUCUUUGAAACUCAACAGUUUCUUCAACUCGUGCAUCUCUUUCAGGCAGAAAACUUUGUUGAUGACCAGACUGUUUUCUUAAAGGGCAAUGCCAUUGAAUCUGCAAGCUGUCCGUUUCCGUCUUCUUCAGAGGACACAGAUUAAUUUACAGAAACCAAACAUCUAUCAAACAUUCCUCUUUCAAAGUGCUUGAGAUUUAAGGAAGGAGCAUUAGAUGGCCAGGAGUCGGACUUUAAGAUGUCUUAUUGACAUAUAAUUAUGAAUAUUUGCCUAAAUGGCCAGGUCAUAGCCACACUUUGUUUCCAUGGGAUGCUCCUCAUCCUCUCUGGCUUAGGCUCUGACGGGAGAAAGAGGAGUUAACAUCCUUUUCAUUGUUAGCCUGAUAUUUCUGCUGCAGCUGCAGCAAGAUGUUAUAAACUCCAGGAUCUAGCUGAUAACAUAUCAGUUACCCAAAGGGAAAUGUACAUGACCUGGUUAUUUAUCCAUUUCUUAUCAAUGAAAAAUGUUAGUAAAUAUGUCAAAAAGGCUUUAUGGUAGUAAAGCAAAGCAUGGUGAAAGAUUUAUACUUUCAUAAUUUACUAAAGUGUGACAUUUACCAAUGUUUAGCUAUUUAGCUUAUAAAGUCUUCAGUAUAAAUUAUUUAGCGGCUUUCCACAUGUAGAAACUUUGGCAGAAAUUUUCUUUGAAAGCUUUUUUUAAAAUCCUUUUUUCUAAAUCUGAAUAAUUAAAUUUCUCUCCCAGAAGAUAUUUUCUACAUUAAAUGUCUUAACCUUAUAAGAUCUGAAUAGUUUGCUAUGAAUGUUGGCAUUUGUAUGCUAACAGAAUGAAAUCAUGCUGAGCUUGUGAGUUGGGACGUCAGUACACCGAUAACAUAGUGACUUGUGCAUGUUAAUAAAAAAUUAGCAAGGCUGACUAAACAUAAAAUUACAUACAAGCAUUAGCAUGAGCCUGCUAACACUGAAUAAAACCUAAAUAGCUGUGGAAAUUAGCCAUAUGCUACCAUUCUCAACAAAUACAUGAUUAACUAAACUUCCUCAAUAACUUAAACUCUUGAUAAUUAGUGGGGUUCUUUGUUAGAAAUUAGUUUCAGAUUUUAGCAUUAGACCGCUAAUAGUAAAUAAAUGUUCAAAAAUUGGAUUAAAUGUAGAGAUUAACCCUAGCUGGCUAAGAAUAAAUUAAACCAUAAUAAUUAGUUGAGUAUGUUACCAUUGGUUUAUUAACACAAAUGACAACAAAUUAGUCUGCUAAUAAGUAAUAAUAUACUGUCCAUUAGCAAAAUGCUAACAUUUUGAACAUAGCUGAUAUUAGCUGGAAGGAUUAGAAAUCCUCAUUAGAAAUCCUUAAAAAAACUGUGGACAUUAGUGUUAGCAUCAGCAAUAAAUAAAACCACAUUAAUUGUGAAAUGAAGCAUUAGCAUGUUAAAACUGAAUCAAAUCAAAAUAAUUAGUAUGGACAUUAGUAGCAUGUUAACACAGUGACUUGUAUAUAGACUUAGCAGCAGAGAUUAGUAACACUAAAACUAACAUUCAUUUCCUAUAGAUAUAAGUGUUAGCAGAUUACUAAUAGAUAAAAUUACAUUAAGUAACUGUUGAUGCUAGCGUUUGUAUCUUAAUGCUAAAUGAAAUCAUCAAAUAAUCAGCCGUGGAAGUAUCAGCAUGUUAACAUUAAUAAUAUAGCUAAAACUAUUAGUUGUGAUUAAUAGCAGUUCCUAAGCAUGUGUUAAUUAGAUGGGGACAAUAGUGUUAGCACUAGCUCUGAAGAAAACCAAAUUCAUUAGCUGUGAGCAUAAGCACUAAAAAUACAAUUAAAUUAUAAGAAAUAGUGUGAACAUUUGCUACAUGCUCACAUGUUAUUAGCAAAUAUUACAUAAACUUACUUAAAAGUAGGAAUUAGUAACAAACAAUAAUUAGCUCACAAUAAUUAGCUGGAUGCUAGCAUUACCCUGCUAACACUAAAAAAAACCCAGCUGGCUGUUACCUUUAGCAUGCUAAUAUUGAAGAAAUUCCAGUAACUAGCUGUGGACAUUAGUAGCAUGUUAAUUAGUUGUGGUAAGUGGUAGUAGAACAGAUCAGUAAGAUUUCCAUGAACCCCUGGUAUUUCAAGGAGUUGUGGUCCACAGCUGCUUGUAAAGUUAAAAUCUAUAAAUACUUGAGACUCCCUCUAAACUCUUUUAACUGCCUGCUUUCAAUAUCAAAAGCUAAAUUUACCUUAAUUUGCAUUAGUCCCGUCAUAGUACUACUUCAGAACAUAACAAACUGUCCUCAUUAUUUCUGCUUUUGAGGGUUCAGACAAUCAGUGCCAAGGAAAAUAAAUGGCGCUCCAGUUUUGUGUCAAGAAGCAUUGUAUCAGGUACUUCAGCUGCCCAAGAUGCAUUUUCUUUUAAAUAUUCUAGAUGUGGUCUGCAAAAAGAAUAUGAAAAAAUGUACUUUUUCCAUGACUCUCCAAAUAGACGGGGUCCACCAUAGCAAAACUUUACAAUAAUAAGGUUAAAAGCCUAUUGUCAUAUUAAUUUUUGGCGUUAGCAGCCUGGCAGAAGAUAAGACAAUUUUGUAUUAAAAUUAGCAUUAGCUUUGGAACAAGUACUAGUCACUGCCAAUGACAUUAGUGAGAGUUUAUCAUCAAUUAGUGAUGAUAAACAUUUCAACUUCCAACUCACUGCUGCUGAUCAGAAGGCUAACUGGAGAACUCAAGCAAGUUUUAAGGUUUAUCAGGACAAAAAUGGAUGGAAGUGGAACAAAACAUGGCUGGCCAGCAGAGCAUUGACAUUGCCCUUUAGGAGAAUAGAAUAGAAUAGAAAUAUUAGCAUCAGGCUUUACUCCACACUGUGUUGAAAUCUCUUGUAUAACUGAAUCCAGGGAUUCGUUUUUACAGUCUUUCCAAACUGCCCUCCUGUUUUCCAGGCUCUUGACGUUUUUAACCGUUUGAACCAAUCACCAGUGAAAUAAUCAGUUUGAUCAGCCUUAAGGAAUCGUCUCGUUGCCUUUGUCCAGGUGCCCUGGAGGUGGCGCUAUGCGUAGCUAACGACAAUCUUUAGGAAGGAGAGCUUUAUAAUCCCUUGAGCGAGGCUGGAGAGGCAGAACCACACCGUUUCCCAUCAUUCCCUGCUCACUGCCUGAAUCACCAUGGAAACCAGCUCAAUCAGCCCUUCCGUCCAUCCUCACCUGAAACGUACCGAUACCUCGUGCCUCAACAGCAAGGCGGCACUUUGAGCCGACCUGGUGUCACCUGAUGUCCAGUGUUUCAUUUGGCCGGUUCUGUUCUACCGGGUCGUUCUGUCUGUCUGUCUGUCCGUCACCGCCGCCAUGUCCGCUCAGACUCAACUUACUGAAAGCAAAAUGUGCGUUUCCUAUGCAACCACAUAAAAAUAAAAAUGCUAAAGCUAA